Pantherophis guttatus is the source of this 165-nucleotide non-coding RNA. NCBI's taxonomy places the organism in Eukaryota, Metazoa, Chordata, Lepidosauria, Squamata, Colubridae. The record is from RefSeq and is a predicted model, not a curated record.
CAGAUCCUUGAUGACAAUUGGCACACUACCUCCCCUGUCACAACUGGAGCAUGGUCCAAAAUCGCAAAUAAAAGGGCAAAUUUCUGAGAAGGAAGAAGAGAAGCAAUAUAUAUAUAUACAGAAAUAUAUACCAAAGCCAUUUAAACCUGAAUCUGGUAACUCAUC